RNAcentral lists this long non-coding RNA (938 nucleotides) under Dromaius novaehollandiae (emu). RNAcentral describes it as "lncRNA (ENSDNVG00000001224.1)". The record is from RNAcentral. Lineage: Eukaryota; Metazoa; Chordata; Aves; Casuariiformes; Dromaiidae.
CACUGGCCCAGCAGAACAAAGCAGAGGCCAAACUUGAACUCAGGCCUCAAUGUAUGGGUGAUCUUUUUUCAACUGUGGUGAGAUGUUCCCUCUAACUCAUCUUAAAAUGUGGAACUGCUGUACAUUGCCUGUGGGAAAAAAGCCCAAAGCCACAUAGUGAUGUAUCUGUUCAACAGUGUGAAAGAGAAAUUCCCUAUUCACAGUCCUGCACAGUCAACAUUACCUGCUGGCCUGGAAGAUUUCUGGAAUGUCCCAGGUCAUCAAAUGCAGAAGAUGUUCUUUCUGAAGGAGAAGAUUCAGUGGGAAUCCUGUUCGGCUCACCUCCUCCUCAUCACCCAAAUGCACAGCUGAAAAAGGAACAGAAGGGAUGUGGGACAACACAUCCAGUUCCGAUGGCAUUACACAACUCACCCACCAGAAAGAGAUGGAAUUAUCUUCAUCUUCGAGGGAGCCCUGGGCCAUUGGUUUAAAGUUUGUGGGGGCUAGAGGAUAAACGAGAGUCAGGAAGCGAGAGAAACAAGAGACCUCAGCUAACUUGCAGAGGAUUAUGGAGACUUGCAGAAUGCACAGAUCCCAAUGAACAUUUCUGGAGUACAGUAAGUUAUCAGUAGAUCAAUUUCUAUAUGUUUUUCUGGACCAAGGUGAGUGGAAGGAAGCUAGAGGCCCCCAGAAAGGCACUGGAACUUACCCAUGGAGCUCUGAGCUCAUAAACGCAUCACUUUUUGCAGCCGUGGUCCGGGAUGAGAAGCAAGCACGUAUAAGGAGGCUGAGAACUGAUUGUCAUGAGCUCUAUAAACACAUCUCUGCAGCUAGCUUACAUGCUGGAAAAGGGACUAGAGUCUGUUUCAUUUUCAAACUAUCAGUAAAAAUAAUACAUUUCGUUUAUGAGAGAAAGCAAAUUUACAGUAAUGCAAAGAAAUGGUUCAACUAAAUGCAGA